GAGCGGCGGACGGGUGAGUAACACGUGGACCAAUCCUGCCCCCCGGCCCGGGACUAGCCCAGGGAAACCUGGAUUAAUACCGGAUGAGACGGGACCCGCGAUGGCGGGAUCCCGGGAAAGGCGCUGCGGCGCCGCCGGGGGAUGAGUCUGCGUCCCAUUAGCUAGACGGCGGGGUAACGGCCCACCGUGGCGACGAUGGGUAGCCGGCCUGAGAGGGUGGACGGCCACAUUGGAACUGAGACACGGUCCAGACUCCUACGGGAGGCAGCAGCUAAGAAUCUUCCGCAAUGGGCGAAAGCCUGACGGAGCCGACGCCGCGUGAACGAAGAAGGCCGUGAGGUUGUAAAGUUCUUUUCGGGAGGGGGAACAACCGUGGCAGGGAAUGGCCGCGGGAUGACGUGAAUCCCGGAAUAAGCCCCGGCUAACUACGUGCCAGCCGCCGC
Molecule: ribosomal RNA, 443 nt
Filed under: uncultured bacterium
Lineage: Bacteria
Description: bacterial SSU rRNA
Rfam family: Bacterial small subunit ribosomal RNA
Source: RNAcentral